This is a long non-coding RNA of Eleginops maclovinus (Patagonian blennie), 361 nucleotides long. RefSeq lists it as uncharacterized. The transcript has 3 exons. Lineage: Eukaryota; Metazoa; Chordata; Actinopteri; Perciformes; Eleginopidae. The record is from RefSeq and is a predicted model, not a curated record.
GAAUAAGCAUUGCCAUGCUCUUUGCGAAGACUACUUUGAAAACUGAAAACAAUAUUUUUAUAUAACAUGUUCAACAGGAUAUAGCAUAAUGUGAAUGUGCUGUAGGCCAUGGGGAGACCACAAGCUGAGAGCUUUUUCAUCGCUCAGAUGCUGCAUCUGUGAUUUCUAUCAUGGUCCCAGGAGGAGGCCGGCUACAGUACUUAAGAAAGUCCCUCAGGUGGCAACGGAGUGAUACAGCAGACUGACAAACAGGGUGGGUCAAGGGUGGUAAUUGCUGAAGAGUUUGCCCCAUCGCUCUGAAGGCCGUUGAGAUCGUGGAGAUGUGCAUUCGGAGGAGAAAGUAUUGCUGUGUGCAUCAGUC